UACGGGGGGGAGCAAGCGUUGUUCGGAUUUACUGGGCGUAAAGGGCGCGUAGGCGGCGUGACAAGUCACUUGUGAAAUCUCCGGGCUUAACUCGGAACGGUCAAGUGAUACUGUCGUGCUAGAGUACAGAAGGGGCAACUGGAAUUCUCGGUGUAGCGGCGAAAUGCGUAGAUAUCGAGAGGAACACCUGCGGCGAAGGCGGGUUGCUGGGCUGAUACUGACGCUGAGGCGCGAAAGCUAGGGGAGCGAACGGG
RNAcentral lists this ribosomal RNA (254 nucleotides) under uncultured bacterium. Its description in RNAcentral is "partial 16S ribosomal RNA". It matches the Rfam family "Bacterial small subunit ribosomal RNA", at positions 524 to 776 of the family's 1533-position model. The record is from RNAcentral.